RNAcentral lists this ribosomal RNA (455 nucleotides) under Dendropsophus sp. minutus group. RNAcentral's name for it is "partial 16S ribosomal RNA". It matches the Rfam family "Bacterial large subunit ribosomal RNA", at positions 1829 to 2484 of the family's 2925-position model. Lineage: Eukaryota; Metazoa; Chordata; Amphibia; Anura; Hylidae. The record is from RNAcentral.
CGCCUCUUGACCCCAUAUAAGAGGUCCAGCCUGCCCAGUGACCAAGUUCAACGGCCGCGGUAUCCUAACCGUGCGAAGGUAGCGUAAUCACUUGUUCUUUAAAUGAGGACUAGUAUGAAUGGCACCACGAGGGUUAUACUGUCUCCUUUUUCCAAUCAAUGAAACUGAUCCCCCCGUGAAGAAGCGGGGAUACAUAUAUAAGACGAGAAGACCCUAUGGAGCUUUAAACUAUGUAACACUGGCUUACAGAUUACUACAUUCCAGAAUUAUUAUAUUACCCCAGCCACUAUGAUUACAAGUUUUGGGUUGGGGUGACCACGGAGCAAAAAUUAACCUCCACGAUGAACGGAGCCGUUCCUGAACCAAAAGCUACAACUUUAAGCACUAACAAAUUAACAUUAAUUGACCCAAUAUUUUUGAUCAACGAACCAAGUUACCCUAGGGAUAACAGCGCA